GACGAACGCUGGCGGCGUGCUUAACACAUGCAAGUCGAACGGUAAGGCCCUUCGGGGUACACGAGUGGCGAACGGGUGAGUAACACGUGGGUGAUCUGCCCUGCACUUCGGGAUAAGCCUGGGAAACUGGGUCUAAUACCGGAUAGGACCACUGCCUGCAUGGGUGGUGGUGGAAAGCUUUUGCGGUGUGGGAUGGGCGCGCGGCCUAGCAGCUGGGUGGUGGGGUGAAGGCCGAACAAGGCGACGACGGGUAGCCGGCCUGUGAGGGUGACCGGCCCAACUGGGACUGAGUUACGGCCCAGACUCCUACGGGAGGCAGCAGUGGGGAAUAUUGCACAAUGGGCGCAAGCCUGAUGCAGCGACGCCGCGUGAGGGAUGACGGCCUUCGGGUUGUAACCCUCUUCCAGCACCGACGAAGCGCAAGUGACGGUAGGUGCAGAAGAAGGACCGGCCAACUACGUGCCAGCCGCCGCCGUAA
Molecule: ribosomal RNA, 478 nt
Filed under: uncultured bacterium
Lineage: Bacteria
Description: partial 16S ribosomal RNA
Rfam family: Bacterial small subunit ribosomal RNA
Source: RNAcentral